AUGAACGCUGGCGGCGUGCUUAACACAUGCAAGUCGAGCGAAGCACUUACCAUUGACUCUUCGGAAGAUUUGGUAAAUGACUGAGCGGCGGACGGGUGAGUAACGCGUGGGUAACCUGCCUCAUACAGGGGAAUAACAGUUAGAAAUGGCUGCUAAUGCCGCAUAAGCGCACAGUACCGCAUGGUACGGUGUGAAAAACCGAGGUGGUAUGAGAUGGACCCGCGUCUGAUUAGGUAGUUGGUGGGGUAACGGCCUACCAAGCCGACGAUCAGUAGCCGGCCUGAGAGGGUGAACGGCCACAUUGGGACUGAGACACGGCCCAGACUCCUACGGGAGGCAGCAGUGGGGAAUAUUGCACAAUGGGGGAAACCCUGAUGCAGCGACGCCGCGUGAAGGAAGAAGUAUCUCGGUAUGUA
This 416-nucleotide ribosomal RNA is filed under the name uncultured bacterium. Its description in RNAcentral is "bacterial SSU rRNA". It matches the Rfam family "Bacterial small subunit ribosomal RNA", at positions 29 to 427 of the family's 1533-position model. The record is from RNAcentral.